CCUAAUACAUGCAAGUCGAACGCUUUGUGGUUCAACUGAUUUGAAGAGCUUGCUCAGAUAUGACGAUGGACAUUGCAAAGAGUGGCGAACGGGUGAGUAACACGUGGGAAACCUACCUCUUAGCAGGGGAUAACAUUUGGAAACAGAUGCUAAUACCGUAUAACAAUGACAACCGCAUGGUUGUUAUUUAAAAGAUGGUUCUGCUAUCACUAAGAGAUGGUCCCGCGGUGCAUUAGCUAGUUGGUAAGGUAAUGGCUUACCAAGGCGAUGAUGCAUAGCCGAGUUGAGAGACUGAUCGGCCACAAUGGGACUGAGACACGGCCCAUACUCCUACGGGAGGCAGCAGUAGGGAAUCUUCCACAAUGGGCGAAAGCCUGAUGGAGCAACGCCGCGUGUGUGAUGAAGGGUUUCGGCUCGUAAA
This 421-nucleotide ribosomal RNA is filed under the name Weissella confusa. RNAcentral's name for it is "bacterial SSU rRNA". It matches the Rfam family "Bacterial small subunit ribosomal RNA", at positions 47 to 429 of the family's 1533-position model. Lineage: Bacteria; Bacillati; Bacillota; Bacilli; Lactobacillales; Lactobacillaceae. The record is from RNAcentral.